RNAcentral lists this ribosomal RNA (448 nucleotides) under uncultured bacterium. Its description in RNAcentral is "SSU rRNA". It matches the Rfam family "Bacterial small subunit ribosomal RNA", at positions 26 to 518 of the family's 1533-position model. The record is from RNAcentral.
AGAGCGAACGCUGGCGGCAGGCUUAACACAUGCAAGUCGAGCGGGCGUAGCAAUACGUCAGCGGCAGACGGGUGAGUAACGCGUGGGAACGUACCUUUUGGUUCGGAACAACCCAGGGAAACUUGGGCUAAUACCGGAUAAGCCCUUACGGGGAAAGAUUUAUCGCCGAAAGAUCGGCCCGCGUCUGAUUAGCUAGUUGGUGAGGUAAUGGCUCACCAAGGCGACGAUCAGUAGCUGGUCUGAGAGGAUGAUCAGCCACAUUGGGACUGAGACACGGCCCAAAACUCCUACGGGAGGCAGCAGUGGGGAAUAUUGGACAAUGGGCGCAAGCCUGAUCCAGCCAUGCCGCGUGAGUGAUGAAGGCCCUAGGGUUGUAAAGCUCUUUUGUGCGGGAAGAUAAUGACGGUACCGCAAGAAUAAGCCCGGCUAACUUCGUGCCAGCAGCCGC